GACAGAGGCCUCAAGCGUUAGGCGGAAUCACUGGGCUUAAAGCGUGUGUAGGCGGAUCGUUAAGUGUCUUGUGAAAUCCCACGGCUCACCCGUGGAACUGCUGGGCAUACUGGCGAUCUUGGGCCAACUAGGGGCAACUGGAACAAGCGGUGGAGCGGUGAAAUGCGUAGAUAUCGCUUGGAACGCCAAAGGUGAAAACAGGUUGCUGAGGUUGUGCCGACGCUGAGACACGAAAGCCAGGGGAGCAAACGGG
Molecule: ribosomal RNA, 253 nt
Filed under: uncultured bacterium
Lineage: Bacteria
Description: partial 16S ribosomal RNA
Rfam family: Bacterial small subunit ribosomal RNA
Source: RNAcentral